This 946-nucleotide long non-coding RNA is filed under the name Musa acuminata (dwarf banana). Its description in RNAcentral is "long non-coding RNA (MACU_LNC000343)". The record is from RNAcentral. Lineage: Eukaryota; Viridiplantae; Streptophyta; Magnoliopsida; Zingiberales; Musaceae.
GAAGUAAAAAAGUAGAGAUCGCUUCAUACACACACACACACACAAAAUCCUCGGUCUUGAUCGCCAUAAUACAAGUGAUGGAAAGAGCAACAUUGACAAUUACAAUCAUAAUAGACAAACGACUGCAUUAACGGAGGAGCAAAAGAUGCUAACUGUGAAAGUGAUGGUGGACGCCGGUGAUGGCGAUCGCGGAAGCUACCUGUUAGAGACUGGGUUUGGGCCGCUGGGGACUUCGUGCUUGCUUGCUUCGAACUCAGAAGUCGAGUUGUGGCUAUUUGGACGUCGCUUCAUGGAUCGAGACGAGGAAGGUGACAGAAGUCGCCUACUGCUACUGCUGCUGCUGCUACUACUGGUGAACGAGACAUUAAUGUUGAUCUUGAGCUGAAUCUGUGGUUGAAGCAAGGAAAGGAGGAGGAGGAGGCAGAAGAGGCAGCAACAGAGGAAUGCAUUUGAUCUGAGACGGCUUUGAUCUCUUGCCAUGCAGGUUUCAGCGUCAAGACCCGAGCUACACCCCCCAGAUUGCCCAAAACAGAUCAAAAUCCAUGUGCCAGUUUAAGUAAUAAGAAGGGAGAGGGCUUCUGCAGAUGAGAAGAUCAAGAAAGAAAAAAAGGCACUUGGAGAAAAGAAUCCAGGCGUAGAUGAGGUGAAAAGGGCAAAGACUACUUGAAGUUGAAUGCAAAAUUAUAUGCUUACCCCUUUCAGGUCACUUUUGCGUGGAUUGGAUUGUUAAAGAGACACUGAAUGAGAUGGCAUGUGCUCCAAUGAGUAUGGCAGUGGCGGAGGGCUCGAGUCUAAAGAGCAAACUCUAAAGACCUCUCCUUUCACCACCAUGUAAUCGACUGAGAUCACAUUUGCCAUCAACCUAAAUGAUUCCAUGUGUAGAUUGGUGAAAGAUUUGUCUGGUUGCAUUGCAUAGUCAAGAAAUGCAGGAGAGAGUACAUAAAGG